RNAcentral lists this unclassified non-coding RNA (190 nucleotides) under fungal sp. RNAcentral describes it as "partial internal transcribed spacer region". The stretch from base 1 to 46 matches the Rfam family "Eukaryotic small subunit ribosomal RNA", at positions 1786 to 1831 of the family's 1831-position model. Lineage: Eukaryota; Fungi. The record is from RNAcentral.
AAGUCGUAACAAGGUUUCCGUAGGUGAACCUGCGGAAGGAUCAUUACCAGAAACACAAUCGUGUAGUGGAUUAGCAUACGAGCGUCGACGAAUACCUAGUGUUUGUGGGCGCGAGUGUGUCAUACUAGAACCAUACGUUUUGUUGUAAACAAACAAAGUACAACUUUUAACAAUGGAUCUCUAGGCUCUU